This 447-nucleotide ribosomal RNA is filed under the name uncultured bacterium. RNAcentral's name for it is "SSU rRNA". It matches the Rfam family "Bacterial small subunit ribosomal RNA", at positions 26 to 518 of the family's 1533-position model. The record is from RNAcentral.
AGGAUGAACGCUGGCGGCGUGCCUAAUACAUGCAAGUCGAACGAAGCCUUCGGGCUUAGUGGCGGACGGGUGAGUAACACGUUGGUACCUACCCCUAAGUGGGGAAUAACUGCCCGAAAGGGUGGCUAAUACCGCAUAAAUCCCGCAAGGGUAAAGCAGUAAUGCGCUUAGGGAGGGGCCUGCGUCUGAUUAGCUUGUUGGUAGUGUAAUGGACUACCAAGGCGACGAUCAGUAGCUGGAUCGAGAGGUUGACCAGCCACACUGGGACUGAGAUACGGCCCAGACUCCUACGGGAGGCAGCAGUAAGGAAUCUUCACAAUGGACAAAGUCUGAUGGAGCAACGCCGCGUGCAGGAUGACGGCCUUCGGGUUGUAAACUGCUUUUAUAUGGGAAGAUUAUGACGGUACCAUAUGAAUAAGGACCGGCUAACUACGUGCCAGCAGCCGC